This 607-nucleotide long non-coding RNA is filed under the name Helianthus annuus (common sunflower). RNAcentral describes it as "hypothetical non coding rna". Lineage: Eukaryota; Viridiplantae; Streptophyta; Magnoliopsida; Asterales; Asteraceae. The record is from RNAcentral.
UUGAGUUUUGCAAAUCUUUUGUUCAAGAUUGUUUGUGUUCUUCUGCUGGGUUUUCUCUUUAGAUUAGGGCUUUUCAUGACAAUCUGAACCCUAAGAUCUUGUUAUCUUUCUCAUGGUGUUGGUUUGAGGUUCUUGAAUAAAUUAGAACUUAGUGAAGAUACAACAGGAUGUCUUUGUGAAUAAAGACAUACAGCAGUGCUUGCAUUUGUUCCGAAGGAUACGGUAUCUGCAUUUGCUUGAUCUGUUCAUAGUCUGUAUUCCACGAUUGCACUUUAUUUGAUCAUCGAAGGCAAAAACUGGACGUGCAAGAUCUGUUUAUUCAACUUUUGUGGGAUAUGGCCAGUUCAGUCUAUCUGGUGAAUACAGAAAAUCAAAAGUUUUAUCCCUAAAAUCUUGGGUUUCUUUUGGCUGCGGAAAAUAUUUCUUGUGUUCUUCACUUUGAACUCAUAACCCUAAGUGAAGGUUACGGUUCUUGGUGCGUGAAUAUGAUUACCCUAAUAUAGGGCGCUCCCGAGUCUCUAUCUAAAUGUUUGGACACGGCCCGACGCAUCUAUCAAGUGGACAUGGUUCAAGUUUGUUUAUAGGGUUUCUAUCUGGAUUUAUAUAA